GUUGGUGGAGUGAUUUGUCUGGUUAAUUCCGUUAACGAACGAGACCUCAGCCUGCUAACUAGUCGCGUUUAUCCUUUGUUCACCGUUCUUUCACUUGUCGGUGCUGGUGUGGUCUUGUGUUCUGCACUUGAUCCGUCAGUCCACUUGAGUUUGAGCAGAACAUUCCGGGAUAGGACAGAGCUUCGGUCUUUCUUGCCCCUUUGGGGUGAGUUUGAUCGUGUUCGAUGCAACUUCUUAGAGGGACUAUCGGUGUGUAGCCGAGGGAAGUUUGAGGCAAUAACAGG
This 284-nucleotide ribosomal RNA is filed under the name uncultured eukaryote. Its description in RNAcentral is "partial small subunit ribosomal RNA". It matches the Rfam family "Eukaryotic small subunit ribosomal RNA", at positions 1297 to 1460 of the family's 1831-position model. The record is from RNAcentral.